AGAGCAGCGGGAGCGCGGCGCAAGGGCAAAAUGGAUCGUUGGUACCCGGAAGCCCGUUCAAACUGUAUAAGGGUGAUCAGCUAUCACGGAGAAGGCUUUAGCAAGUCGGGGCCAGUGGCGCAAUGGAUAACGCGUCUGACUACGGAUCAGAAGAUUCUAGGUUCGACUCCUGGCUGGCUCGCGAUGUCUGUUUUGCCACACUUGACCCAUGUACUACUGGGUCUUGUAAAGAUGUAUAUUCACAAUGUGAAAGUAUUACAAGACCUUGGAAAGGUGUAUGGUUAGAAUGUGAAAGUUAAAUAUCUGAAAUUUUGAUGCCGCUUUGCUCACAAUGUCAUCCUUUAUCCUUUAAACCUGGAGUUGUCUGAGGUGGUUUGCAAACUGCAAAGCGCCCUGUUCCCAAUGAUGCACCUGAGAAGUCUGUAAAUGGGGUAAAUUUAGGCAAACACACCUGGAAAAGUGGCAUUUUGGAGUGGGGAAUGCUGUGGCCGGAGGUUAGCAACCGGAUGAUGCAAAAGCGUAUUUAAGGCAGCAGUUCUGGCCUUUCCCCGCCACGGAGCAGAAGCCCCCAUAGUGAUGUGAGAAGCGGCGCUGUCCCAGUUUACUAGGAUGGGAUGGGCUUUGGAUCUAACCAGCAGCGAAGAAAACCUGCGGUGCGGCUGCGCUCGGUAGUAGGGGUCCACAAAGCGUCAGAAUCUGCAGCAGCCCCGGCCUUUGCGAGCUCCAGCUCCGAAGUCAACCCGGCCCCCAAAUUCCACUGGGAAACCUUAAGACACCGGUGUUUUUACCGUAAGAAGACCUCAGAAGCCCAUGGAAACAAGGCGAUGACGGCGCUUGAGGGUGACCAGACCUCCUCAAUCAUUCCAUCAGCCACCCAGGACUCAACAGCAGAACCUCAGAGGACUCAGCUGAAAGAGGUUUUCACUCGAGCACUAACCACAGAGAAAUGGGAAGUGCCAUCCUGCUGUCAUACGCAGCCGAUGGCUGGGUAGGACUAAAUGCCCUUCUGUGGUGAGAUGAACCAAGACGGCAGAUGGGGGAAUAACAUCAGUGAGAGAGAGAUUACGAAUGGAUCCUUGUAUUGCAGAUCAAACUGGGUUGUCUCUUCUCAAACCACCCAGGCAGUUUCUGAAUGUCCCAAGAUAGGGGUAGGAGAAAAGAAAAAAAAGACAAAACAGGAGACGGUGGGUAAGAAAACCUAAAAGGCACAAUGAGGCAAAGGCCUAAGAUGGAGGCUGGCUUUGGGAUCUGAAAUCCGGCCACAAUCCUCCUUGUUUUACCUCAAGUCCAAGAAUUGUCAAAAAGAAAACCCAGAAGGGCUAUUCAUUCUAAAUUUUAAAAUCUUUUCUUCCUGGCCUACCAAGUCCUUGUGUUUUCUUUCUAGGCGCCCAUAAAUACAACCCCAUUACAGUUCUAUUUGGCUAAUAAUUUACAGAACAUUUAAAAUACCGGGUAGGUGAACAUCUCUUCAUGGCUUUUGUGUAAGGGCCUGAAGCGAAGAGAAAAACAACUGAUUGGAGAUUCCUAUCUGGCGCCUUCUCCAGGGAAACUGACAACCAGAGAAAUCUGUUGCUAGGAUUUCUAGGACAUCUGGAAAUUCCCUUUUUGUUCUUUCUCAACAAUAUAAAAUGGUAUAUUCGCAAACCUAUCUGAAUCACCUCAAUCUAGGCCACUUUGAAAAUUUCAUUUAAAAAUGUAAUCACAGAUUUUUAAACUAAUUACCCAAUUUGCAAACAAAUCCCAGCUACUUCUGGUCUUGAACAUGGAGCAAAGGUGUGUCAGUAAGGCCAACAUUCUUAGGUUGACAGAGACAGGUUAACACAUUGGCUGGCUUCAUUUACCCCCCUGCCACGCCCCACACUGAGCUGGAUGAUUUGAUGGGAAGAGAGGGUCCCCACCUCAGGGUUCACUUCCCCAGCCCCAGCGUUCAUGGGUUUUCAGGAGGAAACCCUGCCUCACCUAUUUCAAAUCU
RNAcentral lists this long non-coding RNA (1972 nucleotides) under Homo sapiens (human). RNAcentral describes it as "non-protein coding LIMD1-AS1:8". The stretch from base 109 to 181 matches the Rfam family "tRNA". The record is from RNAcentral. Lineage: Eukaryota; Metazoa; Chordata; Mammalia; Primates; Hominidae.